Molecule: ribosomal RNA, 468 nt
Filed under: uncultured bacterium
Lineage: Bacteria
Description: partial 16S ribosomal RNA
Rfam family: Bacterial small subunit ribosomal RNA
Source: RNAcentral
GACGAACGCUGGCGGCGUGCUUAACACAUGCAAGUCGAACGGAAAGGCCCUGCUUUUGUGGGGUGCUCGAGUGGCGAACGGGUGAGUAACACGUGAGUAACCUGCCCUUGACUUUGGGGUAACUUCAGGAAACUGGGGCUAAUACCGGAUAGGAGCUCCUGCUGCAUGGUGGGGGUUGGAAAGUUUCGGCGGGUGGGGAUGGACUCGCGGCUUAUCAGCUUGUUGGUGGGGUAGUGGCUUACCAAGGCUUUGACGGGUAGCCGGCCUGAGAGGGUGACCGGCCACAUUGGGACUGAGAUACGGCCCAGACUCCUACGGGAGGCAGCAGUGGGGAAUAUUGCACAAUGGGCGGAAGCCUGAUGCAGCAACGCCGCGUGCGGGAUGACGGCCUUCGGGUUGUAAACCGCUUUCGCCUGUGACGAAGCGUGAGUGACGGUAAUGGGUAAAGAAGCACCGGCUAACUACGUG